UUUCCUUUCGUAUUCACCAUGUUGACCUGUGAUGGAAAAGGAUUCUUAUCAAUUUUCAUAUUCUUAUUUUCCUGGUCGGCAAAUAUGAGCCGACCCUCAUUUAUUUCUUUUUGAAUCUGCCUCUUAAAGGCAGUGCAUUCAUUUAUUUUAUGGCUCCAUGAGUGGUGCCAUUUGCAAUAUCGCCUACGUUUUAAUUCUUCUACAGGAGGUAUUGUUUGACCCUC
Molecule: long non-coding RNA, 224 nt
Filed under: Ananas comosus (pineapple)
Lineage: Eukaryota; Viridiplantae; Streptophyta; Magnoliopsida; Poales; Bromeliaceae
Description: long non-coding RNA (ACOM_LNC001800)
Source: RNAcentral